RNAcentral lists this ribosomal RNA (453 nucleotides) under uncultured bacterium. Its description in RNAcentral is "bacterial SSU rRNA". It matches the Rfam family "Bacterial small subunit ribosomal RNA", at positions 1 to 507 of the family's 1533-position model. The record is from RNAcentral.
AGUAGUUUGAUCCUGGCUCAGAACGAACGCUGGCGGCAUGCCUAACACAUGCAAGUCGAACGAAGCCUUCGGGCUUAGUGGCGCACGGGUGCGUAACACGUGGGAAUCUGCCCUUUGGUUCGGAAUAACAGUUAGAAAUGACCGCUAAUACCGGAUAAUGACGUAAGUCCAAAGAUUUAUCGCCGAAGGAUGAGCCCGCGUAGGAUUAGGUAGUUGGUGGGGUAAUGGCCCACCAAGCCGACGAUCCUUAGCUGGUCUGAGAGGAUGAUCAGCCACACUGGGACUGAGACACGGCCCAGACUCCUACGGGAGGCAGCAGUGGGGAAUAUUGGACAAUGGGCGAAAGCCUGAUCCAGCAAUGCCGCGUGAGUGAUGAAGGCCUUAGGGUUGUAAAGCUCUUUACCAGGGAUGAUAAUGACAGUACCUGGAGAAUAAGCUCCGGCUAACUCCGUG